GGGGUUGUGGCUCAGUGGUAAAGCACUCGCCUAGCAUGUGUGAGACCCUGGGUUUGAUCCUCAGCACUACA
This 71-nucleotide transfer RNA is filed under the name Marmota monax (woodchuck). RNAcentral's name for it is "tRNA.Ala". The stretch from base 6 to 66 matches the Rfam family "tRNA", at positions 6 to 65 of the family's 71-position model. From Rfam's summary of the family: Transfer RNA (tRNA) molecules are approximately 80 nucleotides in length. Their secondary structure includes four short double-helical elements and three loops (D, anti-codon, and T loops). Lineage: Eukaryota; Metazoa; Chordata; Mammalia; Rodentia; Sciuridae. The record is from RNAcentral.